UCGUAUUGAAUAUAUUGAAGAAUCUUUUUGAAUAUUGUGUUUUGCUUUGCGCUGAGCGUUCUUGAUCCGUCUCCUGCAUUUAGCGGCAAUAAACAGAAACUCAAACAGUCAGCACUCAGCACUAGUAGCAGCGCACGGUCAAGGUGCCUACUUUUCUGGGUGGAGGCCGAUGGAGUCACACUCAGCACCACUGAUUGGAGCAUCCGCUGUUCGGCAACAGCGAGUCGCGGCCACGGGAGCGGGCGAUCAACCUGGUUGUGGGAUUUCUGACCGCUCUCAUCGUUUUCAUCACCCUCAUCAGCGCCUUCGUCUUCCACGAGUAUUCGCCGAGAGGAGUCAAUAUCUUUCUAGGCGUUAUUAUCGUCCUCAUCUGUGCAUCACAUCUCACCGUGAUAUGGUGGUACCGGCAGGGCGACCUGGACCCCAAGUUUCGCGUGCUCAUCUUUUUCAACGCGUUCUGCAUCGUGCUGCUAUGCGUAUGCGCCAACCUGUACUUCCACCUGCCGGACCCGAACAAAACCUAGAGACGGCCGCGACACCGGGCCGCCGCGCGUCAGCUCUGCGCCCAUAGGCCCGGCUGGCCGGCCGCCCGGUCGCCGCUGGGCGCCGCCGUGCUGGCCGUCACCGUAGCCGUGGCGCUGCCGCUCGCCGUCAGCCUGGCCGCCACGCUGGUCUACCUGCUGCGCCGGCACCUGGCCCGCUGGGCGGCGGCCGGCCGCUGCUGCCGCCGCAGACCGCCCGGCGCGCAGGUCCACCCGCUGCCGCCCGCCGUCUACACCGUGCCGGCGCACAACGGCCACCCGCCCACAGCCAAUGGCGUGCCGCGAACCGGCCAAGGUCACCGGGAUACGGCCAAUCAGAAUGGCCGAGCAGACAGGGGAAAGAAGACACCUCGGCAGAGACCGAUGGAGGCCGAAUUACCACAGAAUGGACCUCUGGUGCUGCAGGGUGAAGCCGAGGACCAUGGACCUCCGCCGUCACUCGGAACCAGUAGUGCGCCAGAGAACGGACCAGUGGUGCUCCAGCCCGUCCGUUCCACGUCGGCUACCCGGUCAUCAGCACCGGACUAUCACGAGAGAGACGAAAAUGGCUCGGCCAUAGGCAGCACCAGCCUCCAAAAAGGUCCUCCGCAACCCGAGGAACGGCCUUAUCCAGCAGACCGUGACGCCGGGCGCGGCUCGUGCCUGCCGGCGGCGGCGGCGCUGGCGCUGUAUGUGGCGUGCGGCGCGCUGGUGCUCGGGGUCUGUCGCCGCCUGGACGCCGGCUCGGCACUGCUCACGGCAGUGCUGGCCGUGACCGGCGGUCAGGUGCCGGUGCUGGCCGGACCGGCGGCCGCCGCCGCUCUGCUGUAUGCCGUGGGUGGGAUGGUGAUUACAGCGACACUGUGCGUCAGGGUGCUCGCGGCGGUCCGGGCGGCGGCCGUCGAAGGUCCGUGAUAGGGUCGUUAGAGGUCUUUGAGACCGUAGAAGGCCUCUGAGAGACGUCAGAGGCCGCUGGACUCGACCAAGGACGUGAGAAAAACAUGGAGGGUACGGGAGCGGACGCAGGAUGCACGGCAGAGCGUGAGGUACGGCAGAGCGUGAGGUACACACGAGGAGGAUGCCGCAUCCUGAUGAUCCUGAUGAUGCACGGCCAAGGGGGAGAGUGGAGCAAAACAGCCUGCCGCAAGGAAUGUGAAGCCGUUCAAAAUGUGCUAAGACACGUCUCCAUCAUAAGGUGAAACCAAGGCCAUGGUUAAUAAAUGAACGACAACCACAUGAAAAAGUGAACAAUCAGGCCAUGGAGGGGCUGUUUGAGGAAAGCUUCAUUAAUUGUCUUAUCAUAACCAUACUACUUCCGACUGCUUUCGGAUCAACAUUGCAUAGAACACUGUGUAAUAUGUACCUAAUAUUAUGUAAUAAGUGAAUGCUAGAGCUGCUGUUUUACUAUAAGCCGUCCAACAUUAAUAUUUUUCGCCAGAACUACUCACACUAACGUGUCUAUUUUCAUCAUGUGUUCAUGGAUUUUCUUCGGAAAACUCAAUAGCUUUAUGUCAUAUGUAAUUCAACGUCAUAUUCUAUGUAUCGCCAUGAAUGUCCUUGUACAGUGUUACUGCGUACCCAGUGUUUCAUCAACGAUGUGUAUCAUGAACUGUAAGCGAUUGCGGCGUCGAAACCAAGUCAUUUGUAAAUUCGUGUCAUCACACCAUACAGAAGGCGGGCCUCGAUAGCUGUCCACUUCUACAGUUGACGAGACGCCCUGCAGCUGGAAAGGAUUGCAGUAUGUGUAUGGAAUAGUCCUCUACAUGUACAACUGAAAAUUGUGCGCACCUCUUUUAUUAUAAAACAAUUCAACAAUAAGGGUGCCAGUCAUUAUUGGUAUUCUUGUACAAUAAAACGGAUUGACGUCACA
Long non-coding RNA from Amphibalanus amphitrite, 2391 nucleotides. RefSeq lists it as uncharacterized. The transcript is spliced from 6 exons. NCBI's taxonomy places the organism in Eukaryota, Metazoa, Arthropoda, Thecostraca, Balanomorpha, Balanidae. The record is from RefSeq and is a predicted model, not a curated record.